Molecule: unclassified non-coding RNA, 250 nt
Filed under: plant metagenome
Description: partial contains small subunit ribosomal RNA, internal transcribed spacer 1, and 5.8S ribosomal RNA
Source: RNAcentral
GUAGGUGAACCUGCGGAAGGAUCAUUAUAUAUUACUUAUUUUGUUCUGUUCUUUUAACGAGCAGAGCAAUUUAUUAUCCAAGAGUGUGAUUUAUUUAGACAAUCGUUUUUUUAUACAACAAAAACAACCAAAAAACAACCAAAAAACAUAUUGAUAAAAGAACCAAAAAGAAAAACUAUACUAAUAGAGUAUUGUAAAAAUAAACAAAAAACAACUCUAGGCAAUGGAUACCUUGGUUCCCGCAUCGAUG